CCGAGCGAGCCACGCGCAGCCGGGUAUCCAGAACCUUCCCCGCAGAAACCUCGCCUGGGACUACAACUCCCAGGCUGCAUCGGGCCGGGAAGCUAGCCAAUCAGGAAGCGCGGCCUCGCUUUCACCGCCCGCUUCUCUGGUCUGGCGGUCUGGACUUGGGCGACGGUUGGGCAGGUGGGUUCUGAGAGGAGCUGAGGUUUCCUCAGGCCAUUGUCACCCCAAGCGCCUUUUACUUUAUCCUAAUCCGGUUUGGGAAGAGGCUCUUAAGUGAGUCACGAGAAAUAGGAUACAUUUCCCCGGGUCAGGAGGAGGCAGAGGCAAAAAACUGACUUAAAGGUUAGUUGGUUUUCCUUGUUUUGGACAAGCAUCCAGACCUCUAACUGCACAUCUUUCACCUUGCCAAAGUUGUGUGCUAAUCGUGGUUUGUUUUUCAAGUCAUUGUAAGAGAUUUAAAUGGUGAAGGUUUCUAAUGGAAUACUUCUUUCUGUUGUCAUAUCUGACAGAAUUGCUGAAAUAC
This 517-nucleotide long non-coding RNA is filed under the name Dasypus novemcinctus (nine-banded armadillo). Its description in RNAcentral is "lncRNA (ENSDNOG00000050642.1)". Lineage: Eukaryota; Metazoa; Chordata; Mammalia; Cingulata; Dasypodidae. The record is from RNAcentral.